AUUUUUCAUGGCAGUAUCAUAGCCCGUGAGGUCCAGCCGAGGUGUGAUUAUUGCCUGUUGAAAACUGUUCUCUUCAGUAGGAGAAAAUUGUGUUGUUUUUUUUUACUCAAAGUAAAA
RNAcentral lists this small nuclear RNA (117 nucleotides) under Alligator mississippiensis (American alligator). RNAcentral describes it as "U4 spliceosomal RNA". The record is from Rfam by way of RNAcentral. Lineage: Eukaryota; Metazoa; Chordata; Crocodylia; Alligatoridae.